GGCUGGUCCGAAGGUAAGUGAGUUAUCUCACUUGAUUGUUCACAGUCAGUUACAGAUUGAACUCCUUGUUCUACUACUUUCCCCCCUCCUCACUACUGCACUUGACUAGUCUUAA
RNAcentral lists this Y RNA (115 nucleotides) under Prolemur simus (greater bamboo lemur). RNAcentral's name for it is "Y RNA (ENSPSMG00000005599.1)". It matches the Rfam family "Y RNA". From Rfam's summary of the family: Y RNAs are components of the Ro ribonucleoprotein particle (Ro RNP), in association with Ro60 and La proteins. The Y RNAs and Ro60 and La proteins are well conserved, but the function of the Ro RNP is not known. Lineage: Eukaryota; Metazoa; Chordata; Mammalia; Primates; Lemuridae. The record is from Rfam by way of RNAcentral.